Molecule: non-coding RNA, 4747 nt
Organism: Xyrichtys novacula (pearly razorfish)
Lineage: Eukaryota; Metazoa; Chordata; Actinopteri; Labriformes; Labridae
Source: the annotation of a GenBank genome assembly
GGGGUGUGUUGUGUCCAAUCAGGACACAGCAUGUAACAAGUAGUGUAUCAAACCCAUAGUUUGAGAAAUGCAUGACUAAUACUAUCAUUGAGGCGAUUUGUGAGUGAACGGUGCAUGUUCAGUGUGAAUUCUUCGCUUAUUGUACUGUGGGGUAAACAUUCAGUGUACGAAUCACUCACUGAGCCCAAUAUACCCAGUAGAUGAAUAGCAUACCAUUGGACAGUACACUUAAAACCUCAUGAUUUAUAAACAAAUUCAUUUUUACAAACCUGUUUGUCAAAGCAACAGCCACAACAAUCUCGUCUCCCGGUCCCAGAAGCCGUGAUCUGAACCGAAUCCUGAACUGUUCAGCUGUGUAUCAGUUCAGGACGUCGGCGUCGCAGGCUUCUACGGAUUCCAGUGAUUCUGUACAUCUUAAAGAACUGCCGUGCCCAUCACUAUUGAAAAUGGGUGGUAUGGAGACCUCUACAGAUAUGCUUUGUAGACCCCAAUCUGUGCAUGAUGCAUUCUCACAGACCUUAGCCUAGACUUCUAAUGACCUGACCUGUGCUGACCUGAUCAUGAGGAACUUUAAAUAUAUGUUGCACAGGAAACUCAAUCUUUAAAACUAAGUUCAGUCAGACAGCUCAUGUUGUAUUUGGAUUUGAUACGGUUUGUAUUUAGAGUCUGGGCUCAGGCAGUUUUAUUUUACAUGCACAUACUGAAGAGUGAUGAGAUAAUAUAGUUAAACACCUUGUUGGAGUCUGCUGGUGGAUGCUUUAUUGGGUAGGUGGUGGUAUUUAAGUAUAAGCAAAGCACAGGUGCAGGGCAGUGUCGCCAAUCAAUAAAAGAGCCGAGGGAGUGACUGGAAGUCCUGCAGUGUGUGAAUACGGUAUUUGAACGUGUGGGAAAUUGGUGGAGCUAGGGUUGCCUGUCUGGACUAGCUCAAAGGCGUUAGAGAAAUAUGACCAAAGUUCCUAUAAAAUCAAUCAAACCUCUAAAGGCUGUGUUAAAAAGGAGUAAUUCAACACUGUGUCUGGUUUUGAACGUGAAAUGUGUCGUGUUCUACUGGGUGAAAGAGUCAAGGGCUUUCAGGCAGAUAGUAAAACUAUAGUGAACUCUUAUCACUCUCCCUCGCCACGGGACAAGUUUUCAGUGUGGGCCUUUUAGUUUCAGGUGUAUGUGAUUACAGACAGAGAAUGCCUGAACUUUAUUGUCGGUGUCUGAAGUCACUCUUCUGUUUGCCCUCUACUCUUGAAUGACCUGCAGGCAGUGAGAUAGUAGCCUCUGAAGUCCUCACGUGCGAAUACAUGAGCUUAACCUUCAUAAAGAUAAUGAAAUCAGUGAAAUUACAUUUGACCUACAGAAGCAACCAGGAGGCCCCGAGCUGAAAAAUGUAGUUUGUUUAACUGCAUUUUUUUUCUCAUGCGUACAUUUCUUACUUUUGCCUCUAUGUGACAACAUCCCUGUAGUUUUAUUUGGUAUUUUUCUACUUCACUUUGCACCAUUAAUUUAAAGUUGGAGCAUUUUAUCGUCUUUAUUUAGCAUUUUAACCCACAAACUCAAAAUCAAAGCACUUUUCACUGUCACUUCAGCCCCUUUUAGUCUUGAAAAUUCCAUGAAAUUACCCGGGCGAGCUACACGUGUGAACAGAAACAGCCAAGAUUUCAACCCUGACUCCACCAGGAGUUUUUCCAACUGGUGCCAUUUCGAGGUAAAGUCCGGGUGACCUCACAGCCAAUCUUCCAGAUAAUUCCCUGUGAGUAGCCAAGUGGGGAGUGGGUGGGUGUCUCAUGCUGCCGGUGUUCUGCAUAGUUUUGCUACUUGGUUGAAAAAUGAUUUCUAUUUCUUGUCUCAUGGAUGGAAAGGUCGCCAAAGCGUGCCUGUCUUUGUUCGCUGACUUUUGGUACACAUCUUCGAGGGAAACAAAGAGAACAAAGCUGAGAGUUAAUUUAAACUUCUGGUGGAGUUUCAUCAAAGGGUCAGGGGUUUUAAUCUUUGAUAGGGGUCAUAAAAAAAUGCAGCGUUUGUUUGAUGUCAUGAUCCGCCUCCUGAAACCCCCCUACGCCUCCCUCUGACUUCACUAUGGGGACGUGUGUGUGAACAGUUCAGUCAGGUAAAUUUCCAGGUGAAAUUUUCCGUAGUGUGUGUGUCUGUGAAGGGCUUUACUGUUGCUAUGUUACCAGAGUUGUUUCCUCUGGAUAGUGACAAUAAAGUCUGUCUUAACGUUCAUAUUAUACGUCAUGCUUUUACCCGUGUCACAGCAUUGGCAGCAGCUCUAGACCCUGAAAUCAAACUCGUGAAAAUCUAGUGUGGUUAGUUGCGGCUUUGUACUGACCUCCACCUUUAUUGUUGACAAAGUUGAUGACCUGUUCUGAGCUGUGAUUGGUCAGGAAUGAAGAACGGACGUCAGUGUAAACAAAAGUGGUUCAGAGUGAAGCUAUUGUUAAAUGAGCAGAAAAGAUAAAUGAGCUGAAUGUUGGGGGCAUUUUUUGCGCUUUGGAUACCGAAAACCGAACUGCAAUGAUUUUGCAAAGAAAAUAGGCCCUUCUAUUUGUGGACACAGGUCCUUACUGUCUACACUUACCAAAGGCGAGGAAACUCAUUCACACGAAUUAAUUACACGUUAAGUCAAUGCAAAGAUGCAAUUGGACAAUCUUACUACUCCGGCGGCGCAAAUGACUCGAAUCGGGCAGGAGCUGAGAAUGUCUCAACUUGAGCGGAUAUUCGUGUCGCGACAACCAACCAGCAUGAAGGUUCACUGUUAUCUAAAAUGGAGGACAAACUGAAUGUGUCGGUGUGUGGGUCCCCUGAAUUAGAUGAUACCUUUUCUUUUAAUUACCGAAACCGGAAUAAGAAGGAGCUCGCCUGGAGGCAAGUGAGUGAGGAGGUCGGUUUCCCUGGUAAAUUGUAAAAAACCUUUGUCUAUCACUUGAUCCAGCCGGUUGAAUUGGCAAGGUUUACCACUGAAAUGACCGUUGAUGCGCGAAUGAAGCGUGUAAAUACUAUUCAUUCAUGCGAAUUAAGCGAGUCGAUGAUUUUACUUGCGCUUGGUGUGAGCGUCCCAUUACUCCUCUUUCCACUCUUAUGACUGAUGUCCAUAGUCCUAAAAUAAAUGUGCUGUUUGGUGCAAUAAAGAGCAUUUCUUUGCAAAUGAAUAGAAACCCAGUGGUCGUGGAAGUGAGGCUAAUUAGCCUGAUUAGGGUUUACCAUUGUCCUCUUUUUGGGGGCGGUCCGGCUUUGUCCGGGGAAGUUUAUCAAAUCCUUCAGUUGUCUGUGGACUUAAUGAGUUAGAAGUGUGUAAGAAACACUCGGACCCGGAAAACUCUCAAAAUUAGCUACGCGCAACUCUGUGACUCCACCCCUUUAUCAUUUUAGCACUUGCUGUGAGCCUCCUUAUUUAUACACUUAUUUAUUCUUUUGCAUUACUGUAUUUCUGCUUGCGUUAUCUUGUUUUUUGAUUGUUUUAUUUGUUUUUAUGUCACUGUACAGCACUUUGGCUACCCUUGUGGUUAUUUUAAAUGUGCUAUACAAAUAAAGUUGAUUGAUUGAUUGAUUGAUUGAUUGAUUGUAGUUGUGUCCUCUUUUUGGGGAUUCGGAGUAUGGUCACCCUAUAUUAAACUAAUAAAGGCUCCCUGAAUGGGAAUAAUGUCCAUCUAUAGUUCAACAGAAUAACGUUCUCAAGUGUCACGAUGUGUGAAAACUAAAGAAAAAACUCCAACUAAAUUUAGGGAGAUUGUCUCUAAGCUAGUUAGCUAAACCAGAGGACUAAAAAAUCUUUCAGAAAUCCACAGUGAAAGUUCAGUUAUAUGGAUGUCCUCGAGUGGAGAGGCUUCGGAGGUACUUCUCCAAGAUUUUCGCAGUCGGUCACCUAACCUCUGUGCGCAUCAGCAAGCUGGAACGGGAAAGAAGAGUUAAACUUACUUAGUGACUUCUCACCGGAUCAGCGGCAGCUCUCCUGCCCACUCUGAUCAAACACUGCUGGACUUGUUGCUUCGGACAAGAGCAGAUUCUGCCAAACUGAGAUUACAUAAACGUCAGACUGUAGAGUACCCGGUACUGCGUGAUAACUCCCAUUGAGCAAACUAAUCAAACAAAAGCUCCUGUUAUGUAAGCGGCACAGAAAUGACACAGAAUUGCGCUCAGCAACUUUCGGCUCUAGUUUGAAGUAAAGUGAAGGAAUCAAAGCGUGCGCAGGACAUCGAAUCUCUGUUUUUGGCUCUGUGAAGCUCACAGUCUGGGAAAAAUCCACAGUCACCCACUGUUUCCGGGAUAAUAACCACAUCUGUGUUUUUCUGAGGUUUGAUGGACAAACAGCGCAGGGGGGUAAAUGUACAGACACAGUGUACGUGUUUUUGCUCGAUCCCACAUCUGUCUGCUUGAUUUGGAGUGUAACGCAGUUCUCAUCAGUCAGAGGGGAGAAAACACGGACCCUUAACCUCCUACAAAUGGAUGUUUGUCCAGAUGGGUGUUAUUUUGACCACGAGGGCACAGACAAGCUAAGAAUAGCCCCCAGUCUCAAAUACUAAUAGCUGAAGCAAGUCAAAACAAAAUUACAGUGAGGCCUUUUCAAUGGGAACGCUUAUUAAAAACCAACAUUUCAGUGAGUGACGCAGAUUGAUCAAAUCAUCCUUCCUGUCUGACAUCUUUUUUUGUGUCUUUAUCAUUCAUCUCGUUUCUUCUACUCUCAUAAACGGUAUGCUUUUUUAGUCUCAACUACGGCUGGGCGAUCUGGGGAAAAAGUUUAUCACCAUAUAUUUUUUUCAAA